GACGAACGCUGGCGGCGUGCUUAACACAUGCAAGUCGAACGGAAAGGCCUGCUUUCCCUUGUGGAUUGCGGGUACUCGAGUGGCGAACGGGUGAGUAACACGUGAGUGAUCUGCCCCCAACUUGGGUAUAAGCCUGGGAAACUGGGUCUAAUUCCCGAUAGGACUGCAGGGUGGUGCCUGUGGUGGAAAACGAUUUUCUAGUGGGUGGGGAUGAGCUCGCGGCCUAUCAGCUUGUUGGUGGGGUAAUGGCCUACCAAGGCGGCGACGGGUAGCCGGCAUGAGAGGGUGGACGGCCACAUUGGGACUGAGAUACGGCCCAGACUCCUACGGGAGGCAGCAGUGGGGAAUAUUGCACAAUGGGCGGAAGCCUGAUGCAGCGACGCGGCGUGGGGGAUGACGGCCUUCGGGUUGUAAACUCCUUUCGACCGCGAGGAAGCCACCUGGUUGGAAGGGUGGUGACGGUAGUGGUAGAAGAAGCACCGGCUAACUACGUG
RNAcentral lists this ribosomal RNA (494 nucleotides) under uncultured bacterium. RNAcentral's name for it is "partial 16S ribosomal RNA". It matches the Rfam family "Bacterial small subunit ribosomal RNA", at positions 28 to 507 of the family's 1533-position model. The record is from RNAcentral.